This 270-nucleotide ribosomal RNA is filed under the name uncultured archaeon. RNAcentral describes it as "partial 16S ribosomal RNA". It matches the Rfam family "Archaeal small subunit ribosomal RNA", at positions 477 to 747 of the family's 1478-position model. The record is from RNAcentral.
CAGCACCUCAAGUGGUCAGGAUGAUUAUUGGGCCUAAAGCAUCCGUAGCCGGCGCUGUAAGUUUUCGGUUAAAUCUGUACGCUCAACGUACAGGCUGCCGGGAAUACUGCAGCGCUAGGGAGUGGGAGAGGUAGACGGUACUCGGUAGGAAGGGGUAAAAUCCUUUGAUCUAUUGAUGACCACCUGUGGCGAAGGCGGUCCACCAGAACACGUUCGACGGUGAGGGAUGAAAGCUGGGGGAGCAAACCGGAUUAGAUACCCGCGUAGUCC